AGUGAACGCUGGCGGUAGGCCUAACACAUGCAAGUCGAACGGCAGCACAGUAAGAGCUUGCUCUUACGGGUGGCGAGUGGCGGACGGGUGAGGAAUACAUCGGAAUCUACUUUUUCGUGGGGGAUAACGUAGGGAAACUUACGCUAAUACCGCAUACGACCUACGGGUGAAAGCAGGGGAUCUUCGGACCUUGCGCGAUUGAAUUAGCCGAUGUCGGAUUAGCUAGUUGGCGGGGUAAAGGCCCACCAAGGCGACGAUCCGUAGCUGGUCUGAGAGGAUGAUCAGCCACACUGGAACUGAGACACGGUCCAGACUCCUACGGGAGGCAGCAGUGGGGAAUAUUCGACAAUGGGCGCAAGCCUGAUCCAGCCAUACCGCGUGGGUGAAGAAGGCCUUCGGGUUGUAAAGCCCUUUUGUUGGGAAAGAAAAGCAGCAGGUUAAUACCCCGCUGUUCUGACGGUACCCAAAGAAUAAGCACCGGCUAACUUCGUG
Molecule: ribosomal RNA, 492 nt
Filed under: uncultured bacterium
Lineage: Bacteria
Description: partial 16S ribosomal RNA
Rfam family: Bacterial small subunit ribosomal RNA
Source: RNAcentral